UGGGGAAUAUUGCGCAAUGGGGGAAACCCUGACGCAGCGACGCCGCGUGCGGGAUGAAGGCCUUCGGGUUGUAAACCGCUUUUGAUUGGGAGCAAGCCUUUUGGGUGAGUGUACCUUUCGAAUAAGCGCCGGCUAACUACGUGCCAGCAGCCGCGGUAAUACGUAGGGCGCAAGCGUUAUCCGGAAUUAUUGGGCGUAAAGCGCGCGCAGGUGGUUUAGAAAGUCUGAUGUGAAAGCCCACGGCUCAACCGUGGAGGGUCAUUGGAAACUAAUAAACUUGGGUGCAGGGGAGAAAAGUGGAAUUCCUAGUGUAGCGGUGAAAUGCGUAGAGAUUAGGAGGAACACCGGUGGCGAAAGCGGCUUUUUGGCCUGAAACUGACACUGAGGCGCGAAAGCGUGGGGAGCAAACAGG
RNAcentral lists this ribosomal RNA (412 nucleotides) under Verrucomicrobiota bacterium. RNAcentral describes it as "Verrucomicrobia bacterium partial 16S ribosomal RNA". It matches the Rfam family "Bacterial small subunit ribosomal RNA", at positions 355 to 776 of the family's 1533-position model. Lineage: Bacteria; Pseudomonadati; Verrucomicrobiota. The record is from RNAcentral.